RNAcentral lists this ribosomal RNA (207 nucleotides) under uncultured delta proteobacterium. RNAcentral describes it as "partial 16S ribosomal RNA". It matches the Rfam family "Bacterial small subunit ribosomal RNA", at positions 568 to 774 of the family's 1533-position model. Lineage: Bacteria; Deltaproteobacteria. The record is from RNAcentral.
UGUGUAGGCGGUCCCGUAAGUCGGGUGUGAAAGCCCUGGGCUCAACCCAGGAAGUGCACUCGAUACUGCAGGGCUAGAGUAUCGGAGAGGUUGGUGGAAUUCUCGGUGUAGAGGUGAAAUUCGUAGAUAUCGAGAGGAACACCGGUGGCGAAGGCGGCCAACUGGACGAAUACUGACGCUGAGACACGAAAGCGUGGGGAGCAAACA